Molecule: long non-coding RNA, 482 nt
Filed under: Gossypium raimondii (Peruvian cotton)
Lineage: Eukaryota; Viridiplantae; Streptophyta; Magnoliopsida; Malvales; Malvaceae
Description: long non-coding RNA (GRAI_LNC006629)
Source: RNAcentral
GGCAUUAGAUCCAACAUGUAUAAUAAUUUCCACUGGUCAAGGAAGAGAUUAUAAAUGACCUUACUCGAGACAAUACUUAUUGGUGGAUGAUUGUUUAUGGCAUGGGAGUGGUUAUAUCAUUGCUUGCAUAAGAGAAUAAGCUUGAAGAGGCAAGUUUAGUGAAGCGAACCUGAUUAGGUAAACCUUGUAAAAGUGAGCUUGAAGAAGCAAGCUUGAAAGCCUUAUGAGGUGAGCUUGGAAGAGUGGGCCUAAUAAUGUGACCUUUAUAGGAGAAAACUUGAAAAGUUGAGCCAUAUAAGAGUAGAGGUGAGUUUUCUAAAACUAAGCAUAAAGAGGCAAGCUUUAUAUAAAUGAUCUUGAAGAGGCAAGGUUGUACGAUCUUGGGUUUGUAGACCUUUGUAAGGACUUCUCUUGCAUUUAGAAGAACUAGUAACCAACGAGUUGCCUGAAGCACGUUUGGAUGACUGUGAUAUGGUAGUUUC